AUUGAACGCUGGCGGCAUGCCUAGCACAUGCAAGUCGAACGGCAGCACAGUAGGUAGCAAUACCUAUGGGUGGCGAGUGGCGGACGGGUGAGUAAUGCUUAGGAAUCUGCCUUGUGGUGGGGGAUAACUAACCGAAAGGUUAGCUAAUACCGCAUACGCCCUUACGGGGAAAGCGGGGGAUCGAAAGACCUCGCGCCAUUAGAUGAGCCUAAGUCCGAUUAGCUAGUUGGUAGGGUAAAGGCCUACCAAGGCGACGAUCGGUAGCUGGUCUGAGAGGACGGCCAGCCACACUGGAACUGAGACACGGUCCAGACUCCUACGGGAGGCAGCAGUGGGGAAUAUUGGACAAUGGGGGAAACCCUGAUCCAGCAAUGCCGCGUGUGUGAAGGAGGCCUGCGGGCUGUAAAGCACUUUCGGUUGGGAAGAAAAGUUUGGCGCUAAUACCGCCGAACCUUGACGUUACUGACAGAAGAAGCACCGGCUAACUCUGUGCCAGCCGCCGCGGUAA
This 508-nucleotide ribosomal RNA is filed under the name uncultured bacterium. Its description in RNAcentral is "partial 16S ribosomal RNA". It matches the Rfam family "Bacterial small subunit ribosomal RNA", at positions 30 to 523 of the family's 1533-position model. The record is from RNAcentral.